GGCCUGGUGGUGUAGUGGUAGCACAUUCUCCAUCAUAACGCGCUUCCGAGCAACGAACUUGGAUGAGAUGUCGAGGUUGGAAAUGGCGUGGGUUCAAAUCCCACCCGGGCUA
Daldinia caldariorum is the source of this 112-nucleotide non-coding RNA. The record is from the annotation of a RefSeq genome assembly. Lineage: Eukaryota; Fungi; Ascomycota; Sordariomycetes; Xylariales; Hypoxylaceae.